GAGUAAUGUCUGGGAAACUGCCUGAUGGAGGGGGAUAACUACUGGAAACGGUAGCUAAUACCGCAUAACGUCGCAAGACCAAAGAGGGGGACCUUCGGGCCUCUUGCCAUCAGAUGUGCCCAGAUGGGAUUAGCUAGUAGGUGGGGUAACGGCUCACCUAGGCGACGAUCCCUAGCUGGUCUGAGAGGAUGACCAGCCACACUGGAACUGAGACACGGUCCAGACUCCUACGGGAGGCAGCAGUGGGGAAUAUUGCACAAUGGGCGCAAGCCUGAUGCAGCCAUGCCGCGUGUAUGAAGAAGGCCUUCGGGUUGUAAAGUACUUUCAGCGGGGAGGAAGGCGAUAAGGUUAAUAACCUUGUCGAUUGACGUUACCCGCAGAAGAAGCACCGGCUAACUCCGUGCCAGCAGCCGCGGUAAUACGGAGGGUGCAAGCGUUAAUCGGAAUUACUGGGCGUAAAGCGCACGCAGGCGGUCUGUCAAGUCGGAUGUGAAAUCCCCGGGCUCAACCUGGGAACUGCAUUCGAAACUGGCAGGCUAGAGUCUUGUAGAGGGGGGUAGAAUUCCAGGUGUAGCGGUGAAAUGCGUAGAGAUCUGGAGGAAUAC
Molecule: ribosomal RNA, 605 nt
Filed under: uncultured bacterium
Lineage: Bacteria
Description: bacterial SSU rRNA
Rfam family: Bacterial small subunit ribosomal RNA
Source: RNAcentral